UGUAUCGUCACAGGUUUAUCAAUUAUUCUUUCAAAUUUAUGCAUUGAGGAUGAGAUAUGUAGACCUAAUCUACCACCCUGUAUUGCACCUUUUCGCAAGCUCAGAACUGUGAAAUUUGAUAAUAAUGAUUGUUAUAAAAUGCAUCAGCUCUUUACAACACAUUUCCCUUUUGGACACCAGUAAUGUAUUUCAGUAUGCCUUAUAUACAUAUAUAUUAUUAAACAUUUGUGUUGACAUGGAAUAUUAUUGAUUUGUUCAUUUUUAUGUAAAUUUACUGUUUAUAAAAUGUUGAAUUAUUCGAAACACUUAGGUUUGUCUACCCCCAGGCAUAUAGUUUUCCUAAGUCGUAAACUGGCACAACUUUUCGGAAUUUUCGGUUUUUAAUGUUCUUUAACUUCGUUGUCGAUUUGGCCUUCGAACUGCUUUCAUUCGAGGGCCACUGGUGAGUCUUAUGUAAAAACGUGCGUCUGGCGUACCAAAUUAUCAGCCUGGUAUCUUUUAUGAGUUUUUAUAUCUGAUUUAGGCCUUCAUAUCUUCCAUUUAAGUAAUAUACAAAAAAUGGAAAAACUGUCUGAGUAUUGGGUUCUUUCCGACUAAGAUAAUCUGGACAUUUACGUCACGCCAUUUCACACUUAGUUUUGGUAAAAUUAGAUAUGAGUCAAGGCCUUACUCAACAUUAUAAUCUUUCUAUAGGACAUCCUGAAGUAAAACAUCUUUUAGUCAAGGACUUGGCGAAUAUCUAAGUACUAAUGCUAAUAUUUCAAAUUAAAAAAAAGUCUUUUUUUUUCCAUUACGUUGUCAGUUUAUUUUCGACAUAUAAGUUUGAAUGCACCUUUGGUAUCUUUCGCCUUUCUUUUACGACAUUUUAUUUUGUUAUGUUACGAAAGAACACGAUAGGUAUAAUGUCCGGCUUAGAUCAAGUUUUUUCAAGUGAAUUGGUCCACUUUUUCGGGUGUAGAUAAGGUUAUUUCGAGUAAUAUUACAUGCGAUCAGAUCGAUUUAUUGCUAUUUCGCAAGUAUGAUAGUUUUAUUCGUGAUUGUUCAUCUUAUUCUGAAUACUAUUGUGCGUUCGCACAAUUUCCUUGAAUUUCACUUAAAAUUCAGCGUUUUACAUUGUCCGUGUUUUUUUCGAGUGCAGUAUUUUUGAAAGAAAAUGUGAAUAAGAAAGAAGGCAUUCUAAAAUUGAUUUUUCUUAUAGUUUAUAACUGUAAUUUAGUGAAGAACAAUAUUAUAUAUUCCCAAUAAGUCACAAAAACAUAUAACAAUGCUGAUCAAGUUUAACCAAUUUCGAUUAAAUGUUGAUUGUCUGUACUGAAAACAUUUUACAAUAAACUUGCAGUAUUGCGAUAUAUAAGAAAUCAUUGCGUCUUUUUCAAAACAGUCUUUAGAAUUCAGGAGUACAGGGUACUCAUAACCUAUACAAUUCUUAUUUCAUGCUACUUUUGUUUUACAGUCAAUAAUGUUUUAUAAUAUAUUAACCCCUGAGUUUUAAAAACUAAGGCAAAACAGUAAAAAAAUUCAAUAUAAAUACAUGUAAAAAAAAAUCUACUUAAAGAGGCCUCCUCCCCCCCCC
Molecule: long non-coding RNA, 1573 nt
Organism: Mytilus californianus (California mussel)
Lineage: Eukaryota; Metazoa; Mollusca; Bivalvia; Mytilida; Mytilidae
Exons: 2
Source: RefSeq, a predicted model, not a curated record